Non-coding RNA from Mesocricetus auratus (golden hamster), 314 nucleotides. The record is from Rfam. Lineage: Eukaryota; Metazoa; Chordata; Mammalia; Rodentia; Cricetidae.
AUGAGGGAGAUUUGGCUGUGCCAUUGUUACACCAUUGAUUGCCAGGAAUGAUUAAGCUGAUCUGACUGGUUAUGUGGGUGUUCCUUUCCUCCUUCCCCACUCUGUGUGUAUCCCUCCCAAAGCUUAGGGCUCCAUCAAAGAGGGCAGCCUUCCCUGAAUGGCGGAGGACAAGUAUUCAGUCUAGGGUGUGCAAGUAUCUGUGCUCCCCUGCUAUAUCCUCUAAACAAGCUUUCAUGCACUUAAUUCUUCACUGCAAUUGUCCAGUGAACUCCACUCAAAGUGAAGUAUUUCCCCUGUGCUAAAUGACUGUCUUU